GAAAUGCGAUAAGUAAUGUGAAUUGCAGAAUUCAGUGAAUCAUCGAAUCUUUGAACGCACCUUGCGCCCUUUGGCUAUUCCGAAGGGCAUGCCUGUUUGAGUAUCAUGAACACCUCAACUCUCAUGGUUUGCCAUGAUGAGCUUGGACUUUGGGGGUCUUGCUGGCCCGUGGUCAGCUCCUCUCAAACAAAUCAGCUUGCCAGUGUUUGGUGGCGUCACAAGUGUGAUAACUAUCUACGCUUGUGGUUUUCCGCCAGAUGACCUUCAGCGAUGGAGGUCCGCUGGAGCUCAUAAAUGUCUCUCCCCAGUGAGGACAACUCUUUGAAUGUUUGAUCUCAAAUCAGGUAGGACUACCCGCUGAACUUAA
This 367-nucleotide unclassified non-coding RNA is filed under the name uncultured Thelephoraceae. RNAcentral describes it as "sequence contains ITS1". The stretch from base 1 to 106 matches the Rfam family "5.8S ribosomal RNA", at positions 50 to 154 of the family's 154-position model. Lineage: Eukaryota; Fungi; Basidiomycota; Agaricomycetes; Thelephorales; Thelephoraceae. The record is from RNAcentral.